This 71-nucleotide transfer RNA is filed under the name Cyclopelta obscura. RNAcentral's name for it is "tRNA-Asp". It matches the Rfam family "tRNA". Rfam says of the family: Transfer RNA (tRNA) molecules are approximately 80 nucleotides in length. Their secondary structure includes four short double-helical elements and three loops (D, anti-codon, and T loops). The record is from RNAcentral. Lineage: Eukaryota; Metazoa; Arthropoda; Insecta; Hemiptera; Dinidoridae.
AGGGGUUUAGUUUACUUUAAAACAUUAACUUGUCAAGUUAAAAAUAAUUUAAUAUAAAUAAUUAACCCUUA